ACCUACGGGAGGCUGCAGUAGGGAAUCUUCGGCAAUGGGCGAAAGCCUGACCGAGCAACGCCGCGUGAAUGAUGAAGGCCUUCGGGUUGUAAAAUUCUGUUAUAAGGGAAGAACGACUUUAGUAGGAAAUGGCUAGAGUGUGACGGUACCUUAUGAGAAAGCCACGGCUAACUACGUGCCAGCAGCCGCGGUAAUACGUAGGUGGCGAGCGUUAUCCGGAAUUAUUGGGCGUAAAGAGCGCGCAGGUGGUUGAUUAAGUCUGAUGUGAAAGCCCACGGCUUAACCGUGGAGGGUCAUUGGAAACUGGUCAACUUGAGUGCAGAAGAGGGAAGUGGAAUUCCAUGUGUAGCGGUGAAAUGCGUAGAGAUAUGGAGGAACACCAGUGGCGAAGGCGGCUUCCUGGUCUGUAACUGACACUGAGGCGCGAAAGCGUGGGGAGCAAACAGGAUUAGAUACCCCGGUAGUCGUUC
Molecule: ribosomal RNA, 470 nt
Filed under: Novosphingobium aureum
Lineage: Bacteria; Pseudomonadati; Pseudomonadota; Alphaproteobacteria; Sphingomonadales; Sphingomonadaceae
Description: Bacterial small subunit ribosomal RNA
Rfam family: Bacterial small subunit ribosomal RNA
Source: Rfam by way of RNAcentral